GCCGUGUGAGGGCGCGAAACGCCUUAGCACCUCAGCAAUGCUCCUUUCCCGCCUCCCUGUGACACAGUGAGGAGCCCAGAAACCGUCUGGCAUCCGAAAUUGGAAGUCGGAAAGAACACGGGCGGUUUAUCCGACCAACACCAGUGGCACUGGGAAACAAGGAUCUAAUUUGCUAGAACGCGAGGAACAUAUCUGGAUUUCAAAUGCAGGCUUGAAAUUGCUCAUCCUUUUCUCUUCUGUAGGUCUGUUAAGUAUUAGCGUCGCGAUCAGUUUUUUUAGGACGCGCUUUUAAUGGAAAAUGGUGUUAAUUGUGGAAAUAGCAGUGUUGAAAAAACAUUCAAAUGAUUCCAACAGGUAGAUGUUUUUUCUUCCGCAUUCAUUCCCCUCAAGCCUUUUACCCAGAUGACCUUUUAAUGUCUUAACAGUGACACUUGGACAGCAGUUUCUCAAUCCCUUGACAGGCAGCACGCACAGCCUUUGUAAACACCAGUCCAGCGUCUUGCCUUCACAGGAAGAGCUCGCCAUUUGCCCGCGCCUCAGCUGCUCUCUGCCAUCUGGUGGAUACGCGGAGUCACUGCUUCGAUACUUCCAAUUUCCACAAAGAACGCGGUGUUCUGAAUAACUAAGCCGAUAUCGCACAACCGCAGGAUGGCUGAGGCUGGCCGGCCCUCUCUGCCCACCUGGACCCAGCCCUGCCCGAGCGGCGUGCCCAGGGCCAUGGCCAGACGGCUUCUGGAGAUCUCCAAGGAGGGGACUCCACAGCCUCUGGGCAGCCUUUGUCAAUGCUCUGUCUCCCGCACAGCACAGAAGUGCGGUCUGCUGGUUGGUCAGAACCUCCUGUGUGGCAGUUUGUGCCCAGUGCCCUUUGUUCUGCUGCUUUCUACCUGAGAGGCCCCAGCCUGUCCUGCGUUUGGCCCUUCUCCUUCCUGCACUUCAUGUUGUCCUUUUACAGAGGUGCUAUUUAAGAAAGCAUAAAAGAUCUCACAAGAAAAACACUGUUUAUGUUUGAAAACUUAGAUCAAAAUCUCUCGUGUAUUUUACCAGCUGAUUUGCAGCCUAGUGAACAUUUGACCCACGUAGGUUAAAAAUGAACAGGCUAGUUACACCAUACGCAUUCGUUCCAUAACAAUGUAUGCACCACAGCUACUGUUCUCUGUUCAGAUUCAGAGGCAGAAGCACGAUUUUAAAGCAGUGCAGACCAAGCUGAAAUACGUGGCCUAUCUCAUGUGGCAGCGUGCAGUAAAAAGAAGGGAUUGAUGGAAUGCUACGGCUGCACAGCAUUUAGUGCUUCAUUCCUUGCUGGAGUCAAUCCUUGAACACAGGUCAGGCUUGCUGGUGAGGAUGUGGACACAACUGACCAGAGCUGGGAUCUCUCGUCAAAUCAUCAUUCUGCAGCUUGGUGAUUAUUUCUAACUCAAGAUGUUUGUAAGUGAUUCUUUCAAAAAGGAGGUUUUAACAUUUGAUGGUACACAAAGUCAUAUAGGGUAGAAUCAGAACCUCGGCUUUAUCUCAUUUAUUUUGCAUUCCUUUGCAUUUUUGAAGACAGGUUGCAGAGAGCAGCCCCAACUACUGAAAACAUACAGCAAAUAUUUUUCCCGAGGAUUAGAGCUGACAAAACACAGUCAUGGCUUUGUGCCAUGUGGCUGACUUUCCAUACUUGAUAAAAGAUGUCUGCAUAUUUAAAAAGUCUCUCUCCUAUUCUACUUUUGCAGUGUCUAACGCUGUGUGGACUUUGUUGGCCUUUUCUCCGGUUACCAGUAUUACCUUGGGUCUCUUAAUGUAAGGCCUCUUUCCUUAUCUUUUCAAGCUCUGCUCUCUGACAAAGUUCUCAGGUGUGGUCAGACCUUCAAGCACACGGUGUGACUGCACAGGACUUCUUCCUGUUAAGAAACUCAUCAAUAAUUGUGUGUGGGUCUUGCACAUUGCAGGAGUGCGGGUGUUAGAGAGAAGGCUUAGCCAUAAGGGAAUUUGCUCUGAAAUGUUUAAAAGAAGAUUGAUACAAGUAAACCAGCCUUGAGGAGAGAGCUGAACCCUUUGGAAGAACUUAAGGAGUUUGUCCUUGUAGCAAGUCAGAGCCACCUCACUGUUUUCUGUUUACCAGCAAGCAUUUUGUACUUGUUUUGUGCCAUACCUCCAUGGGAGCAUGUGGCUUCCUGCCUUUGUGUAACAACUUCAGCCCUGUUUGAUGCUGGAUAAAAACAUGAGUCACUCUUUCAGAUCACAGUGCUCCAGAAUGAGAUCGUUUUACAUAACAAAUCAUGAUUAUGAUUUGAAGAUGAAACAAUCCUCCCACAACCCUUUUAUCACAAGUAUGUGAUGCUAUUUUUCAAAUAUGCUGCACAUCUACGUGAAAUACGGGAUGGACUGCUCCUGGAGUUUGUUAACACGGGAGGGAUGCAUCCAAAGACAUGCAGAGAAACAAUGGGAAAAGCUGAAAAUAGAAGGUAGACUUGCACAGAUCAUGAUCAUCUCCCUAGACAAAGUAUCUGGAAGAUAGAGGUGUACCUAGAAAUGAGAACCACGAGCAGCUGGGCUCCAUUGCCGUCACGGAAGUUAUAUGCACAGAACUUCAAGUUUAUCUGCUGACGUGCAGCACAGCUACUACUCACUGUCAGGAGAUCCCAGCACGUGAAUAAUGAGUGAGGGGACCUUGAUAAAGUGUUAAAGGCCUACACCUUAUCUAUGCAAGAGACUCCGAGCUCAAACGAUGAUGCUGAGCAGUAUCAACGGGCAGUUUUCCAAGCAGGAACAAAGUGACUGGGAGAUGCGGCACCAACCUGGCCCUUCUGUGUUCCCUGGAUCCUGAGGUGUCUCUGGGCCUUCUGACAGCCAAGUGCACUGCAUGCGGGGCAGAGUUGAAUUUCACUUGCAUCAUUCUUUUCACUACAGGGACUAUCAAUCGGGGAGUUUUGGUAAACACAAGUGAGGAAAGAGACAUGGUACAAGAAUACCUACAGAUAUUAACUACACAAUCGGAAAAUAUCAUGAGCUUAGGCUGCUUAAAUGCUAUCUAACACUUCUGAGACAACGUUAUGAGGUAAUAGGUGCCAGGGGGCUAUCUGGAGACUGGCAAUACACCUGCAACAAAGAAAUAAUCAAAGAUGAAAGCCAGUCUGAAACUAAGAGUUAGCAACAAUAUCCAGAAAUGAGCCUGUGAACACAGCAAGGCAGAAGAAUAGCAACUGGAAACUGUCAGUUGGUCCAUUGCUGUGGCUGAGACCAUACAUCUCAUGCAGUUGUAGGCGUGCUGAUAACAGAAAUAUGUUAACAGUUUGACAAGAUUUCAGCGAAAAGGAUGGGGGAAGGGGUUCCCUUUGGAGCUCAGGACUCUCAGGGUCUGUCCAUGUCACUCUUUGGCACCUUCUGUAAGUUUGAGACCUGAGGACCUUAAAAGGAGUGAAUCAAAUUCUUCCUUAAGCUAUUUCUAGAUGCAAAGGUGAAGCUUUGCAGCAGCCAACCAAGUAAGUAGAGUGGGAGCAAAACUUGUCUCAAACUCCUUAGCAUAAGUAAGUAAUGAAUUAAUGAAAAAUAUACUGGUCUUUAUAUUUUUGGAAAAAAGUAAGGGUGAUUAAGGGUGAUUCUGGUAGGUAUGGGGAAAAAUAGUGGGAAAUGGAAUACCAUAAGCAAAAACCAAGUUAAUGUGAUUAGAAAACAAAUCCUGCUAGGAUGCAGGACUCCCAGGAGUUCCGUUACCAGAGUGAUUUAAAAAUAGAAGAAAAAAAUGACUAAUCCUAAACUGAAAGAGAGUACAAAACUGUAAAUCUCCAUCUUUAAUUUCUGGAAGAAAAAAUGUGAGAAUAACUCUAUUCAGAGAAACGGCCAGAACUAUUCUGUCUCUACAAUGGAAUUUUUGCUUGAUUAUGAAGAAAUUAAAAACCUCAGGCUUUGUUUCUAUGGUUCUCAUUCCAACUUCAAAUGCAGUUUCCUGGGUUUAAUUUUUUCCCCUUUUCUAGGAAAAAGAAAAGAAAAGGAAAGCCCUCUCUUACCCCUCGCUCCCCUAUGUAUACAUUCUGGAUAUUUAAGUGGGUAUUUCAUUGGAAUGUUUAUCUGCGCGAUGUUAGUAAUUAAAUCCGUGAGUUCCGCCAGUCACAUGAACUCAGCAUUUUAUUUUAGUUCAAUGAGGAGUUACGUAAUCAUUUAUAGUCUGAGCUGCAUUCGUCAUUUAAAUCUCUUUGCAGUGCUUCUUACCAUGGCAUGCGUUGGUUCUGAGUUUUGCCUAAUUACAAGGACAUUUUUCUGUUUGUGGGAAGACUUAAGAUACACUACAGUUUCAAGUCAACAAAGUCAAUAUAUGUACCAUGACUUCAUUAACUAAAACUAACCCUCUUCACAUAACAACUCAGAGGAUCAAAGUAAGUGUGUGUAGCUCCCAUUAAACACAGCAGCAUCUUACCUUAUUCUAUCAUUAUUUGUUACUGUGAGCUUUAGAAUUAAUAAUUAAAAACAACAAUAUAUAUUACAAUAUAAUAUAUAAGUACACUGUUAAAUAUUACAUAGAACAUUAUAGAGCUAAUAAUAUGUGUAAUUUAAAAUUAUUUGAAGAUUUAAAAUGAAAUGAAGCAACUCAUAAAGGGAAGGUGAUAUAAGUUACCAUUCACAAGGAAUUUAGUGCAGUGCCACGUGCUCGGUGCAGUGAUCUCAUAUGUUUGUGGACAAGAUCCUCAAUUAAAGAACUUGUUAGACAGAGUUGCUUAGGAAGGCUAAUAACUUUUAACAUUAUUAUGCAAUAUAAUAAUUUUUCAGUCAGACUGUAUUUGACUUAGAGUACUGGCAGAAGAAAAUUCACAUCCAAAACGUGUAUCAUAAAUGUUUUGUGAAGUUUUAUGUUUAAAGUUUCUUUAACACAUUAUCUUCUGAAUUGCCCGAGCAACAUCCUCUCAAAAUACCCUUUAAAAACAUCUCCCAGAAUAAAAUGACAGUGUGAUUUCUUUUCCAUUCACCGUCUUCUUUCUGCUCUCUCUAUAUAAUAAACAACUUCCUACAGACUUUUAUUUUUAACAUUUGAAGUUUGAUGUCAGAAUGUAAUUUCUGAGAAGCAGAUGAACUCAAGUAUUCCCUCUUGCUGAAUGAGCCUGCGCCCAGCAGCCGUUAACUGGGACGUACACAAACAGGAAUAUCAAACGGUGGUUUUGCCAUGUGACCUCUUCCACUGCACACACAAAUAUAGAACAUGACCAUAAAAAGUAACAGAACAUGCUCUCUGCUAAGUAAUUUAUUGCGGUUGAUGCUAGAUCGGUAUGCCAGCUGGAAUUACCUUCCCAGCUCCUACUGUUUUCACAUAUACAGAUAAUAAAGGCUGUGCACUGCUGCAGAUUCCAAAUGAAAAAAAUAUCAGCUUUAUUAUCAAGGAGCAAAACUCCGCAGAAGCAGCUUAAGCAAGCUGAAAUGAAAAUGUUUGCUAGUGAUUCACAGAAGGAGUUAAAGAUCUGAAAGAAUACUACAGCCUUCAACAUUUUCACAGAGGGGGAAAAUAUUGCUUUUUGUAUGACAUGUAUUUCUCUUCCUUCUCUGCUAAGCACAGAAAAGUCUAAGGAUCAUUAUACAUGUAGGAGCUUUCUUUUUGUUUGAAUUCCUUGUUCAUUAGUUAUAAGCUGCAAGAGCUGAGCUAAUUUAUUUUUGCAGGGCAUUUUCCCCUCCCUUUUUUUUUUUUUUAAAGGCACCACGUAUGACAUCCCAACAUGACAGGAACUCAGUAAAUCCCCUCCGUCUCCACACCGCUGUCUCUGAAUGUCUGCAAAGCUACUAUGCCAUAAUCGCAACCCGCUGGCUCAUUCACAGCUUUACAUUAUAAAGCAAACAGUCUAGACAGCUGAAUGACAGAAUUACUCUCUUUUCUCUUGCAUUUAUAGAUAUGCUGUCAUCUUCAUUUGCUUUUCUCUACCCUGUGCAUUCCGAUACACUAAUGACCAGCUUUCCUGUUUGGAUUCCACACUGACUCUGUGGCUCUAGGCUGUAAAUACAACCAGAGCCCAGAUGACAUUGCAUCAAUGAAGUCCUGGAGUUGGAAGGACCCCUGAUUCUUUCCCUCCCUGGCGUUAUCUGGUGUUAACUAGCUUUUUCAAAACUCUUAACUAAUACAGCUUUGCAAAAGGAUUCUUUUCCCCAUUGAGAUGGAGAUAUAAAAAGCCUGAUGUUUUUUGAGCUGUCACUCUCUGCAGUAGAGCAUACUAUUCAAGUUGCAUAAAGUAGGCAGCCUUCAACUAGUUUCAGGUUAUCUGCUAUAUAGCUGCAUGUAGGACUGUGCAAAAAGUAUGUGCAAAAAAGAGGAAAGGAAUUAACAACUGUAGAGUUUUGGAUGCCUAUUAAAAAUGUGUACCUAACAGUCUUCACGUUAAAAAACCUUCAGUAAUUGGACUGGGUUUGUUGUCACUGAGAAACGAGCCUUAGCCUGUAAUAUUCCUGGUAUUUUAACACACAUAUCGUCCGGCACUUCCUCUGUGCUAAAAGAUAAUUAAAUGAUAAAACAAUACUUUUUUUUGCCAUCAACAAGCUGAACAAUCCCAUACAAGCCUGAUAAUGCCCAGCCAUACACGUGGCCAACUGUGGUGAUAUUUAUGGCAAGGUUUUUAUUAUUUGUUGCUUUUCUUAAUGCUUCUGCAGCUGUCGUUCUGGAUCGCAGGAGAAUCUCUUUUUACACUUGUUCUUUUUUUAAAUUUGCUUGUUUUGCUGCCAUUUUAAAAUGAAAGUCUCUGAACUUUACAGCUGAAAAAAUCUCAAAUCUUUGACAUCAGGUUCAGAAAAAGCUAAGGGUAAAAUCUAGGAGAAGCCACUCCAAUUCUCACUUGAAAAGCAGAGAAAAUCAGACUGAUAACACAUCACCAAGUAGUGAGCCAGAGCUUUUACUUUCACCAGAGGGGGGACAAUACCAACAAUCUGGAGCACUGCAUUACAUUAGUGGCCAUUGGAAACUGUUCGUUGGGGAAUAUUUUACCAACAAGCAUGAAGAGUUUUGUGGGCCACUGGGUGUGAUUGUGUUCACAGCCAAUAUAAAUGACUUCUUGAGGCCUGUACCAGUGGGAAUUUUGCCUGUUCUCUGCAAACCAUGACCCACUUUUACUCUCUGAGAUCAGGGACAGAUGGAAAAACAAAAGAUCCCUUCCCUUGCUUGGAACUCCAUAAAUCAGAAGUGUCAUCUGGAAUAUCUGCACUUUUUUUCCUCGAGUACCUUAAAAGAUACUGAUUAGAAAAACUUUCAGUUUGUAUCUCUAAGAUCCGUAAUCACAGCAAAAUUUCAGUAAUUCGUCCUAGUUGCAGAGAGCUCUGAUUUGAGAAUACAGAGUUUAGUGAACUAUGAUCUACCAGAAAAAGACAGAACUGAAGGCUGUGCAAGUAGAGCCUUCAUUCUCUGCAUGCUCACAGAAGGAAGGUUGGAGAGCAGUCCCACAGAAGGGCUGCCCAGACACUGUUCCCAGGACUCAUACAGUGCUACUAUCCAAAACUUUGUGCCCUGCAGAAACCACAAAUGACAUUUCGUUUCAUUUCAAAUGGCAUUUCUUAACAACUCCACAGCCUCCCUGAGCCUUCUAGUUGUGAAAGGUUACCACUAAAGUAAAUAAAUCAACUUGAUCUAAAAUGCUGUUUCCUGUUCUUGACAAAAAGCAUUGCUUCUUCCAAAAUUAGACUAACCCAGAGCUCUGAGAGUAUUCAGUCUAGGGGCGAGUAUUGAUCUUUUUUUUUCUCUCAAUAGCUUAUUCCCUAACUUCCAAGUCUAUUAUACAACAUCCCUGUGGGGCUAGCAAAAAGUCAUUAUAUUGCCUAGUAUCUUCAGCUUCCAGAGAAACACCGAUCCUACUACAGCCCUAUAAUGAAAACCUCCUUUGCUUUCUGCAGUGGUCUUAUAUGUGUUGUUCAGAAAAAUUUCUUCACUCUGAUUAUUGUAAACUUUCUGAUUAUUACAGUACCAUGCUAAUAAAACUAAAAGCAAGCAUCUAAGUACACUGUAUAAAGUAACAGAUAAAAGCAAAUGCAGAGAUGAUAUGAAACAUGCAGGAAGACAGCCUUUUUAGUGCAGCGACUCUUGAAACUGUAGGUCAGUUUUCUUACCUCUUGAGGCUCUUGACAUUGAGAUGCUAACACCAGGAAAGAUCUCUGUGCUUGGAAAGCAGCACGUACCAUCUCUGCCUGUAAGAAAAGGAGAUAAGUUAAAUCUUAGCCUGUGACCUCCAGUACUUCUCUUUGGCAGCUCAAAGUCAAGUGUGACAGCUCAAAUUUUUCUUGCUGUUUCUCAUCUAAAUCACAGCAAUGCUGACUGGAAAAAAUGUACUAUAGAGGCUUAGCUAUAUAUAUAUAUAUAUAUAUAUAUAUAAAAAAACCCUGAAGUUAGGCUUCCUAUCUUCUUCAGAUAGGAAAUAAAACAAGUUGAUAUGCAGCCUUUUGCUUAUCAUUCAUGAGAUAAGUCACGGAAGGACUUAAUUUUACCACUUCAGAGAAUGUUCAGGCAUUUUAAUGGCAAUGUAAUGGUAGUGUUUAUAUUCAGAGUGCAAGAUAGCAACUUACUACUGCUGAGACCUGCAGCCUGCAAACCUUCUGUUGAACGGUACCUUAGGCUGUAGUGAUGUUCAAGAAGAGUUGAGUUUGGCAUGUUUACUGAGAGAUGGGGCUGCAACUCAUUCCUUUCCUGUAUUUCCCCAUGCAAACCCUAAGAGUGAUGGCUAUGAGAGAUGAUGGGUGGCUGAGGAUUUUUGGGCAAUUUCCUCCCACAGAACUCUAGAAUUUGGAUUAAAUCUGCAUCUGACAAGUUUGUUCUUGAACACUACACAUUUUCUUUAUAUUAUGAAUGAUGCAUGUUGAUUUGAAUCUAAUCAGUAUUUCACUAUCACAUGUCUUAUUCAAAUGGAUGAGCAAUAACUAGAAUGAUGAGUUAUUGGCAUAGAAAAGAACUAUUCAUAAAUAGCACGUAUUGCUAUAUAAAACCAAACCAAAUGCUGUUAAGUUAAUCUAAUAUGAAUGAGCACAUUUAUAAUCACUUUGUGAAAGGGUAGGGAAGUUUGUUCAUGCUGUUUGUCUUUGAGGUUUCUUUAGUCUAAAAAGAAAACAGGAAAAUUUUACAUACGGGCUUAUGUGAAUGCAACUUAAAUUACAUAAAUGUGAGGAAGUUCCAAGUUCAAAGCCAAAUGGUGUUUAUCUAUCUUAAAAUGUUAUGGCAUGAAUAAAUCUGUUAGGAUGAAAAUCACUGCAAGGAAAGGUGGUAAAAGGGGCCAACUUGAACAGUAUUUGUGUAGAAGGGGGAUGUUAUACUCUGACAAGCUGAGAUUUGUAAGAAGGCAAUCAUCUCUAUAAAUGGAUAAAUAAAUAAAUAAAUAAAGAGGGAAAUUAUAUCAGCGUAGGAGACAUAACUUUUUUAGACAUAGACAAAAAUACUAUCAAUAAUGGCGAGGUUUGGUUUUUUUUAGGCAUUUCAGAAGACUGACUUUUGGUACAGAAACUUUUAAAACAACAACAUGUGUGCUAUUUUAAGCUUAAUUUUUGUGCAUACGGAGGAUCUUGCAGACCAGCUGACCAAAAAAAUAAUAUUCAAGGAGGAGUGAUUAUGAAUGGAUUCAGUUCUUCUGAAACUGCUGGAUGGACAAAAAUAAAUCUACAGGUUGGUAUUUUAGAAGGGCAAACUUUUGGAAAAUAGAAAAAUCAGUGAAUGAAGAUGACUGGCCCAAGGAACUAAAUGAACUGAAUGCAGGAAAAAUGGAUUUGCAUUAAUAAUAGAAAUAAUUUGCACAUGCUGGGCAAGAGAAGAAUUAGAUAGUUUCUGGAUUAAUAAAUGACUGAAGCAAGAUGCUAAGUGCAGAACCUAUAAAGAGUGAGAAGAGGCCUUGAUUAUCGAGGAUAAUUUGGUUCAGAGAUUAUAAAAUAAAGAAGCAAGGAAAUCAAGGAUAAAUGCCUUGUUGAUCUGUCUUGCACAGAGAAGUAAAACUAAGCCAUAGGUUUUUUUAGUUACUGAACGAUAAAGAAAUCAAGGGAUGAACUGAGGCCGUGGCCAUGACCUGAAGAGUAAGUUGAGCAUCCUUAUAUUGUUCUUGAUGUAUAACUUCAUAGAAUCAUAGAACGGCUUGAGUUGGAAGGGACCUCAAGAAUCAUCAGGUUCCAAUCCCCAUGCCACAGACAUAGUUGCCAACCGCUAGCUCAAACACUAGACCAGGCUGCUCUGGGCCCCAUCCAACCUGGCCUCAAACACCUCCAGGGAUGGGGCAUCCAUAACCUCUCCGGGCAGCCUGUUCCAGAACCUCACUGCUCUCUGAGUGAAAAACUUUCCCCUGACAUCUAAUCUAAAUCUUCCCUCCUUUAGUUUGAAAUCAUUUCCCCAUUUCCAAUCACUCUCUACCUAUGUAACAAGUUAAUUUCCCUCCUGUUUAUAGUUUCCCUUUAAAUACUGGAAGGCCAUAAUGAGGUCUCCCUGCAGCCUUCUCUUCUCCAGACCGAACCAGCCCAGCUACUUCAACUUGUCUUCAUAGGAGAGGUGCUCCAGCCCUCUGACCAUCUUCAUGGCCCUCCUCUGGACCCUUUCCAAAAGCUCCACAUCUUUCCCAUUGUGUGGGCCCCAGAUCUGGACACAGUACUCUACAUGGGGCUUCACAAGGGCAGAGUAGAGAGGGACAAUCACCUUUCUUGCCUAGCUGACCACCUCUCCCUUGAUGCAGACCACGAUACUGUUUGCCUUUGGGGCUGCAAGUGCACGCUGCUGGCUCAUUUUAAGUUUUUCAUCUACCAGCACCCCUCCAUCCUUCUCAGCAAGGCUACUGCUCUCAAGGAGCUCUUCUCCCACUUUAUAUAUGUACCUGGGAUUACCCUGACCCAAAUGCAAAACCUUGCACUUUGCUUUGUUGAACCUCAUCAGGUUUACAUGGCCCCACCAUUUGAAUUUAUCAAGGUCCCUCUGGAUGGCAUUUCUUCCUUCUGCUGUAUCAGCUGCAUCACCCAGUUUGGUGUCAUCAGCAAACUUGCUGAGGGUGCACUCAAUCCCAUCAUUUAUGUCAUUGAUCAAGAUGUUAAAAGAGUACUGAUCUCAAGACAGACAGGGACACCACUCGUCACCGGUCUCCACCUGGACAUAGAGCUAUUGACCACAACCCUCAACUUACCUGUUGUUAAGUAAAUGUUUUUCCUCAGUCUUCAAGGAACUUGACGUACAUGAGGAUAAUGAAAAGCUAACUAAGGAGAAUGUUGGUAGAUCAGUGGAAAUUACCCCAUUUGAAAGAGAAGUCAAAUACACAUAGCUUAGAGUGACAGAAUCAUUGGCUCCAUAUCAUCUUUGUUCAUUACUGAAGACACUGGCAGACAGAAGCACAAGAAAAGAUUUUUAAUAUGUAUCAUUUGCAGGUACUACCGGAGGAUAGAAGUAUCCAAUGAUGGAUUGGGGAAAUAUACCUAAGAACAGAAUUAAAAAGCACACCAAAUGUUUUCAUGGCUAUUAAUCUGACUUCAGUGCCAUGCACGCUUAGAUUCAAAAGGAAUGAUUAAAAACAAAGAUGCAAAUUAUAAAUGGGAGAAAUUAAAAUGUGCUUCUAUCUGUGGUUAAAAUCAUUACUGUUGGGUAUUUUUUAGAAUUUUCAGUUUCUUAGACGAGGGCGAUAUACCGAAUCUAACAUACAUAGAUAUUAUAUAUUUCAUGGGAAAUUUGUACUUUAGAUGGAAAUGAUGCAAAUUAGUAUAAAAACUCUAGGUUGGAUAAGAAGCUGGAAAAAAUGGGGACAGCAGUAGGGCAUACUGCACAAAGUGUUGUUUGAGAGGAGGGAAGUUACUAGUUGUGUUCCUCAGGGUUUUAAGAACUACCAGUAUGUCUAUUAGUGUUUUAAGAGCAAGAAUAGACGUGCACUCAUAAGAUUUGCAGGCAACACAAAGUUAGGAGUUUUUAAUACCACUGAAAAUGAGUCCGUCAUCACUUGUGAAGAGCAAGGUAACUUUUUUUUUGGCAGAGGUAAUAUCAACAGGAUAAAAUUAAGCAAUUCUGUCCUUUUCCUCCCUUCUAGGUUAAAACAAUGCUAAAAUUGGGAUCUAAACAAGGAAUCAAUUGAUUAGAAAUGCUGAAGCCUGGAAAAUGCAAGUAGGAAAGCCAGGGAGGUUCCUUUGUGAAAAUAGUUUAUGCAGUUCUACAGCCGAUGUGACAAAACAGUUUAUGGUAGAGUUACAGAAGUCCAUUGGAGAGGACACUGUAAGAAACUCUCUGGAAUUCUCUGUAAAGCACUAAUCAUUUGUUUUAAAGAAAGAGAGCUUAAAUUAAAACUGAGCAGAGAAAACCUAUGGAUAUUUAGAGCAAUAGAGUAAUUGUCUUACACAGAUAAAUUUUAAAGGUUUCAUUUGUGCUUAGUAGCACAGUGGGUAAGGAAUAUGAUGAUUCUUUCUCAUACAGAACGUAAAUAUCAAAGAGAAGGAAGAAGAGCUCUGGUCACGGGUCUGUAAACUGGGUCACAAACAUAGUCUCAACUUCAGAUUUCCAGCUAACUCAGAGGGUGAAGUUCAGAAGGGUUCUUCCAAAUUCCUACAAAGAGCCAACAUCAUUUUAAGACAGAACUUUGCAUGCUGAUAGAUCACAAAACAAGAGUUUGAAAAAAAAGUCUGGCUUUUUUUUUUUUUUUUAUACUGCAUUAAAUCCAUACUUUUGGGUUUCCACUUACACAUAGAGACUGAGUAGAACCUUUUUCUCCCCUCAGAGUAUAAUGUAACAAAUGGUUUCUUGUCUGAUUUUUCACUUCUUUUCUGCUGAUGUACUAGCUUUCCACAUCAUUUUUAUUAACCCCUUACUUAUUGUAGGACACUGGAAACAUUUAGUGGUCAGUGGACUACGUAUUGAUCGAUGAUACCAUACCCCCUGAGAUUAUCCAGCCCCAUGGGCUUUUAGUUGCAUGGGGGGAAAAGCCCUGAUAUUUCUUACCUUUGAAAUUAAGUCUUAAUCAAAAGACUGUGCUAACGCAGCUUUUGAAUUUUUACGAGCCCAAUUUCACAAGACUUCUGCAACAGAUACUUCCUUCUUUCUCCAGCAGCAUUAAAAAUGGGUUUCUGAGCUUAAUGUUUCCAAACGUGCAGUAUUUCUUUCCAUGCAUCCAGUCAAAGUAUUAGAAGAGCUUCUUCUCAUUAAGAAUGCAUUAGUUCAGUUUAUCACCACCUCAAUUCUUUCAGUAUUUGAAAUGUGGCACUUUGUUGCUACUUCCUUCUUUUCAGCAAGCAGGCUGUGUAACCAAGCGGAAGCACUUUUUUAUGUAGAACUGAUUCUUUCAUUAGACCUCCAUAUCCACUGAAGUCUGGUAAAUGGAAAUGGACUGGAGGGAUUUUUCUCAACAGUUUGUGCUGCUCAGCCAAAAGACUGCCACAGAAUAAACCAGCUGAAACUCUUUCAGUUAUAAUGAAUGAUAGUAAUGAAGACUGAGUGUCAAAAACGUAUAGGGAUUGUGAGUAAAUUUAUCAAAGUAAACUAGAACACAAGCUUGCACACAUUUCUCUGCAGAUAGAAAUGGGAUAUUUUGGAGCAGCAGAUAAAUGGUAUCUCAAAACUUUAGGUAAUCCUUUUGGCAUUCUUGGGAUUACGUACAGAUAUAGCAAUCAUCAGAUAGAUUCUGCAGCUAAGGCAAACACUUUGAAGGAAGCAAAUUCUUCAGAAUAUUUUCUACUCUGCUUUUAAUGGCUUGUGCUAAAGGCUGGAAGAGAUGGCUGUGUCUUUGGGCUCGAAUGCCCAGACUGCCUGCAUGCCAUUCUCCUCCUCAGUUUCCCAAACAGUAAAUUGUGGAAGAAGCUGUCUUAAUCUUCUUCCUAAAGUGUGCUUUAUAGUUGCCUUAGGUAGUUACUAUGGCUGGAAGAGAAGAAUUCUGACAUGCCAGCCCAGUUCCAAUCCUGUUGAAGUCUGUGUCUGACUACAGGGAGUGGCCUCUCCAUCAACGUCACAGUAACAGCAUAGACAGACCUCUUCAAAGUUCAGCCUGCAAAAAUUAAUGGAGGAAUCAUUUGUCCUUAAGAUGCCUCUUUCUCAUUUUAAACAUUUUAUUCAAUCUAAGUUGUCCAUCACACUGGUAUCCAAGCACUAAUGAAUACAAAUAUUAUUUAUGUAACAACAGUUUGGCAACCUACAAGAGGAAGACAAGCACAUGCAUUCAGAUCUUGUUAUGAGAAAAUUCAGUUUUUGGAAAAAAAUAGUAAAAUAAAAUAGAAGUAAGAGAAACAAAAGAUUUCCUAAUGAAAUUUAGUCAAUAAUAUUAAUCUACUGACCUGAUAGUAUAAAUUGACAGAUGUAAUUAUAUUUAAUAAUGUAUUUCCUCAGUCAUAGCACUGAAAAGCAUAAUGCAAAUAUCAGAAUUCACUGAACUUCUGUUCUUGAAGAAUAAUCCACAUCUGCAUAUAUAUAUACACUCAGACAUCAACAGGGAUAAUUUGCAAAUCAAAAUAGAGAUAUAUAUAUACAUUUUAGAUUUUGAAAAUAUCCAAAAUGACUUUGUUCUGAAACAAAAUAUUAAAGAGGACAUUGGGGAAGAGAAUGAGGAUUUAGUUAGCGGCCCAGAGUUUUAAUUACAGGUUCUGCAGCAAUAGUUUUGGGUCCUUUGGGUCUAGCAAGAGACACAAUGACUGACGACAAAUAGCAACUACAGAUGGAACUUCAGUCUUACGGGCUAAUACUCAAUCUUUCUGUGAAAGGAACAAUACUUCCAGAGAAGGAGAAACAGUUCAUCUUCUACAUUCUGCUUUCAAGAGCCUCUACAAAGUGAAGUGGAGAAGUGGCUGGUGGCUUAAAUGGAGAAGCAAGAAAUGGAAAAAGAAUGAAGUUUAGUUUAAGUGUGGGGCUGCCAUAGAAACUAUCCAGGCCAGCUGAAGAGAUACUAUUUGCUUUGUAUGGGUAAUUGGCUGAUAUAGAUUUCUUUUUAAAAUUGAGCCAAAUGCUGAAGUCAGUGGCAGUUCUCCAAGCAACGCACUUGAUACAGGAAAAGGAAAGAAAGAAAAAAAACUAUCACCUUUCUCUUACUGGUAUAUACAGAAAACAGGGUUGAAAUUGUGGUCAAAAUUGAAGUCAGUGGGAAAUGUGCCACUGAUUUUGAUGGAGCCGGACUCCACCCCAGAUGUUUUCUUUUCUAUUUUCAGUUGCAGAUAAAUUUGGCUACCACUAAUCAGCCGUCCUGUAUUUUUUAUGGUGUUUUUCAGUCUCCAUAGCUAUGUCUAUAUUAGGUAAUUUUUGCUAAAAUUUCUCAGCAUUGCUUCUGCCUGUCCAGUACCAAUCUAAGGUUAGAGCAGGGCUGGUCUCUCUAGCUGUUUAUAUCUGUUGGUGUCUUAAACGCUGUCAUUUAACUGUGCACAGUGCUAGCCAGUGUUAUUUAUUUGUUGUUUCAGAGAAACAUCUGUAUCUAAGUUCACUAAUUUUACCAUUUGGUUAGCUUGACUGUGAUUUACAAUACUCAGAGCUCUUAUAGCUUUUACUUCCAGUGAAGCUAAUGACCUAAGACAUAGUAAUUGCUUGGCACAAACCUCUACUCACCUGUCAUUUUAGUUGUCCGUAUUACAUGAACUGUAUAGAUGCAGGGGAGUAAAGGAGUAUUUAAAGCCACAUCAGCUUCUUUUACACAGAUUGCAAAAAUACUGCCUUAGAGAAAGAAUAUACAGUCUCUUUUGCACUAUAAAAUUUGCUCCAGUGAUCUAGAAUUUACUCUAAGCUCUACCAAUUUUGAGUGAUGUGAACAGUGCUUGUUCAUCUCAAGGGACUGUUAAUUUUAAAACCCGAAGAAUGUCACUAAAAUGUCAGCUUUGUCAAAUAAUUCUUUAUUAAUUUGCAUAGCAGAAGUAGUCAAUUAUUUUCUUCAUCCGUCAUUUCAAACAGAUAAAUAUUUGGCUGGAGGGCCACUAAGGCUACUAACUACUGCCAAGCGAAGAAGCAGAUCAUAUUCCAAAAUAUCUCUAAUAUCCCCUACCCACUAGAGAAGAAGAGCAAUACCAGACCAAAUCUGUACUAGCUGAUGCUUUCUAAAGCUCAGACUGCUUUUUUGACUUCCAGAUUCUUCAGUUCUCCAUGAAUCUCCUUGCAAAUAGCCAAGUGUCUCAUGACCUCUGCUCCUUUCAGCUGUUGUAGGGAAGUUCUGAAAACAAAUGUAGAGUAUUGAUUGUUGGAGAUUCAAGGAGAUUCAGUAUAGAAAAGUACUGAGGACUGUGUGAAAAGAAUUAGUCCAGACAUUACUGGACAUACAUUUCUCAGAAAACAUGUAUUACUUCCUUAAAUCAACAGGAACCACAUAGUAUGUAUCAAAUAGAUGAAUUCCAAAAUUGGCUAUUAUCAGGGUCAACCAUUUUUUAACAUUGAGGCUCCUUUUUUUUUCCUGUUGAAGUCCAAGUUCAGAAUUCUUGUAAGACCUCACUGCCUGUGCUGAGGAGAAACCUCAUUUCCCCAAGUGAAGGUAAUUCUACAUUUUCCAUAAGGGAGAGAAACCAUAAAGCAGCCCAUCUGACAACCACUGAGAUCCCAGCAAUCUGCAGGCCUCUGCAGAAAUGUGCUUUUGCCUACACUGGCUGCUGGAACCCUGGUUAUUUCACUGAUAGGCCACUUUGCCACUGAGGUUUUCUGCUAAGGCCAAACUGGAAUGGGACUUGGAAAGGGGUGCAAAGAAGAAUAAGAAAGUCUCCUACAGGUACAUCAACCAGAAAAGGAAAGUCGAAGGUGUACCUCCCCUAGUGAGCGGUACAGGCUAGCUAGUAACAAUGGACAAGGAGAAGGCUGAGGUACUCAGCAACUUUUUGCCUCAGUCUUCACUGGCAACUGCUCUUCACACACCCCUUGAGCAGAUGGGUCAGAAAGUGGGGACUGGGGGAGCAAUGUCCCUCCCACUGUAAGUGAAGAUCAAGUGAGUGACCACCUGACGAACCUGAACAUUCAUAAGUACAUGGAUCCCAACAGGAUGCAUCCCUGAGUCCUAGGGGAAUUGGCUGAUGAAGCCACCAAGUCAGUCUCAGUGAUACUUGAUAUUUGGAAAGUCACAGAGGUCAGGUGAAGUACCUGGUGACUGGAAAAAAGGCAACUCAGGUAACUACCGAACUGUCAGCCUCACCUCUGUGCCAGGCAAAAUUGUGAAACAGAUAGAGCCUCCUGGAAGCUAUGCUAAAACACACUGAAGAGAGGGAGGUGAUAAGAGACAACCAGCAUGGCUUCACAAAGGGCAAGUCCUGCCUGACCAACUUUGAGGGUACUGGUAGAUAGCAAGCUGAACGUGAGCCAGCAACGUGCCCUUGAAGCCCAGAAAGCCAACCGUAUCCUCGGCUGCAUCAAAAGAAGCGUGGCCGGCAGGCUGAGGGAGGUGAUCCUGCCUCUCUGCUCUACACUGGUGAGGCCUCACCUGGAGUAGUAUUGUGUCCAGGUGUAGAGUCCUCAGUACAGGAGGGACAUGGACCUGUUGGAGCACAUCCAGAGGAGGGCCACAAAAAAGAUCCAAGGGUUGGAACGCCGUCCCUAUAAGGACAGGCUGAGAGAGCUGGGGGUGUUCAGCUCAGAGAAGAGAAGGCUCCGGGAGACCUGAGAGCAGCCUUUCAGUAUCUAAAGUGGAGCUAUAAAGAAAGAAGGAGAUAAACUCUUUGAAGAGUGAAGAUAGGACAAGGGGAAAUGGUCCUUGAUAGGACAAGGGGAAAUGGUUUCAAACUAAAAGAGGCAAGAUUUAGACUGGAUCUAAGACAAAAGUUAUUUAUGAUAAGGGUAGUGAAGCACUGGAACAGGUUAACCAGAGAGGUAGUGGAUACCCUGUCCCUGAAGACAUUCAAGGUCAGGCUGGAUGGGGAUCAGAGCAAACUGAUGUAGCUGUAGGUGUCCCUGUUCACUGCAGGGGGGUUGGACUAGAUAAUCUUUGAACUUUAAACAUCACUUCAAACUCAAAUGAUUCUGUGAUUCGAUGAUUCUCUGAUAUUGAAAGUCUGGGUAUACUUGGAGGCUGGAUCUCAGACUCUCUGAAAGGAAAGAUGCAUCUGCAUGCACGUUGAUGUGAUUGAAAAGUAAGCCUGCAAAAAGGUUGUUCUUUGAACAGAAUAUAUAUUGAAGCAACAAAAAAAGAAACAUUUCAGUCUUGAAGAUCUCCUUCAAGUUCCCAAAUCAAUCUUUCAUUGCUCUGAGCUCUAGAAUAAAACACAGUUAAAUACCUGAGACAAAAAAAAAAAAAAAAAAAAGCAAAUAAUUGAACUGUUUUGCAGAUUAAUUAUAGAAAUACGUCAACUUAUGGAUGUCAAGAGACUAAUGGAAGUGAACAGUGGCAGUGGCAUGUUUUAAUGUUUUAAUCUCUUCUAAUGGACUCUUUAACAUUCAGAAAUCUUGCCAUAUUGAUCAUACAAUUCAAAUUGGAUAAAGAGGCAAUACAGAUUUGUAGCCACAUUCUAUCCUCAUCACUCCUGACAGUACUCCCAGCUUAUUAAAAACAACAUUGAAACUGCACAUUGGUUUCCCUUGUGGCUUAAUUUUCAUUAUUCACUGAACUCCUUUUUGCUAGAAACUGACUGAAGAGCCAGAUUCUGAGCUCAUUGUUUGUUUUUUUUUGCUGACUACAAUGAACAGCCUUCUCACUUUCCAAUCCUAGCAGUUCUAUACACUCAAAACAGUUGCAACCACCAACUAACAAAAUAAAAGCAGGUCAGGGAUGGGGAGGCAGGAUGAGUGAAAAGAGCGUGUGUGUGCUUUUCAGAAAGAAUGAGACUGAAAAUUUAAAAAGGCUUGCUCAUAGCCUGUAGCAACAAAUGAUAUUCAUCAAGCACAGGAGAUAAGUGUCACAGUAUGGUACUCAAAACAGGAAAAAAAAAAAGUUUACAUAGUGUUACAGCUCCAGUAUGAAAAGUUGUAAUUCCUCAUAUAAGAAAUAAGAACCAUGAGCACUGGUGUCAAUAAAGAGAGUUUUUAGUCACAAGAAGUUCAUCCUGAUGAUGAAAGCAGGAAUGUUGUCUCUCUGCUUCUCUGUCUCAGUUUUCCUGAUGGAUCAAUAUGGUCUAAUUUGCCAGUGGUUCACUGGAAAUUACUCUUGUAAGAAGCCCAGACCUCACUUUUCAGAGGUGGAGUGACUUAAGAUGACUGUCACCUACAUCCUCCCAAGCCCGGAUUCCUUUGAAUCAGAAAAGUAAAAGACUGAAAAUCUAAUCAAGGCUUCUGACAACUCCCUCAUGGGCCUUGGAUCUCUGCCAUGUCUCAAGUCCUCCCCAGUAAGCUUCUCCAUGGUUUCCUCUAAGAUCUGUCCUACCCAAGACUUUGCUACAGGCUCACCGAGAUGCAGUCACACUGUGUUUGCAGCUGUAAGUGCGGCUGGUCCGCACACAAAAGCUACCUGUCAUUUAGCUAAUUCAGUCAUGUAACUUUAUUACCUUAUGGUUUUUUGGUUUAAUUGCUGCAAUGUUCUUCAACUUCUGGGGCACUUCUGCCUCUAGGUCUGCAGUUUACUUGUAAUGAUAGAAAACCACCAAGAAAAACAGGUUUCAUGUCAGUAGAUUCAAAUUUGCUCUUAAAGGGCUUCAAUGAAAAUGCUUUAUAGGAUAACGAAAUUAGCAUGAGCUAGAGCGUAUAAUCGGUUCUGACUUAGAGACUUAAAAUGGCUGGGCAAACAUGAUGGAGUUUUAAUUUCAUUUCCCAUUGCUUCUAAGACUUCCCACACAGAUCUUUCUGAUACCAUUUUUCAGGCAUCCUUUUGAAAUCAGUCUUAUUUUACUGGAUAACCACACACAGACAUAAUCUCUGCUUUAGGGGCCAACGGUAUUAGACUCUAAUCCAAAAAAUGUCCCCUGAUCAACUCCACCAUGAAACAAACAUAUUUGAAUUUAGUCAGGAACUACUCUAUAUGCAAAAAAGCAAGCUCCAUGAAAACAGGCUAUGAAGACUGUUUGACAGCAUUGAGUGUUUAUGUUUUCUUAUGUUUCUGACUGAGGGAAUACUGUGUGGAACAUUCUCAUUGUAUAUUCCCACUACCAUUACCCUGAAUUUACAGGUUGUGUGUUUCUCAUGCCAGCAGUACAUAAAUUACCCAAUACUGGCCACAAUGUCAUGUAUUUUUCAGCAUGGUCUGUUAGAUUAUCUUCCACGCCUUUUUAAAUAAGAGAAAAAGCAGGAUGCAUUUCGUACAAUGACCUUAUUGAGAAACUGUGAGCUUGAUCCAGUUUUCAUCAAGAUUAACAGAAAAACUCCCAGUUUUUCAAGGACUGUUGGUUUGGACAAGCCAUGGCCAGGUUCUUCAUGCUUCCGAGCCAUUCUUCUUGCCAACCAGGUGUCUUACAGUUAGACAAGUGUAACCAUGACUGCACCUGACCCAAUAAAUCCUGCUUAAUUUGUAAGCCAGAUCCAACCUUUAGUCCAGAAAUGAAGUCAUCCCUUGGAGCAGACAAAUCAAAAAUUGUGAAGCACUUAAAAAUGGUAAUUGCUCUGGAUUAGCCACUUGGCUUCAUUGUGUAUAUUGUAUUUCAUAUUUAAGCAAACAUUUUUCACAGCUUAUAUUAUGAACUAUCUUGCUGUAGACAUGCAGGGUGAUAAAUAUGAUUGCAGUAUCAUUAAAAAUCAACUCUAACAUUUCUGGAUUCCCAAGGUUGUUUUUUCAUCGCUGAUUAUUUGGUUUUGGUUUUUUGUUUGUUUUUGAUUUUAGUGGAUGGCAGUACUGUUUUCUAUGUUUAGUUUCUUUCUUUCAGCUGUUUUGUUGAUGUAUAAAAAUACUUGUCUUUAUUCAUUUUUUUGUAUUCUGUUUUUCCCAGUCCUAUGGUAGCUGCUUGGUUUGGUGUUUAUUUCAUCCACCAGAAAAUACUCAUCAUAGAAAUGCAAAGGCAGUGUGACAGCAAGCUUCUCUUUGGGCAUGUUGACAUCAUCCUCUUCUCUGAGCUCUAAUUCAACUUUCAACACAAUGCCUAAAACCGCACAGCCUCUGGGCACAAAAGAACAACACGAGAGUACACUUGUGCAUUCUGUUGCCCUGUAAGCAAAUUGCUUGUUAAUGAGGAAUCAGCCAGAUAAUGGGUUCGAUAGUCUGUGCUUUGAUUAGGUAAUAUGAAGUGCAGAAGUGUUUUUUGGUGUAUCAGAGACAGCACAGUCUGUUCAAAGUUCAAGGCUAUGAAAGUCAUUGAGUCACUCUUCAACAUCACUCAUAAGAAAAGACAAGAUGCUGCUAUUUCACGUGUAGUAACUACUCUUUGGAUGAAAUGAGAAAGCUAUGAUUUUUUAACUUUGUUGACAGUCCAGAUUGGAGCUGCACUUUGCCAAGAGCAAGUAUAAAGAUAACUCAUUAAAUAUACCUCAUUAAAGAUAACUCUUGCCUUCAGGUGCCUAUCUGUGUUUACACGGACUGUGCCUGGAAGGAGUAGAGGCUUUCACACAAUAGAUAAAGAAAAGAAAACCUCUGUGAAUAUAACCGUGCAAAUAAAAUUUCUGUAAUGUGAACACUGCUUCCCCUGCUCACGAUAGUAAAAGAUCAGUGCAUGCACACAGAGAGCCCCUGCAGAUGGGAUAACAUGCUGGAAAUUGCUGUUCCCCUGCUAUUUGUUUGUGUAUCACUCAUACAAAUGAGUUGUAUUUUAACUGUCCCGGGAAGGAACAAGCCAACCAACAAACUUUUUAUUCCUGGGCACUCCAAGGUAUGCUCCAUAAUGUUGCUGGUUGUCUGUUUGAGCUCUGCAUUUCAGCAGCUGAAAGUUGAUGAUAGAGAGGAGGAAAAAGGCAUCAAUAUUUCUAUAGUUUUCCUUUCCAAGCUAAAUAGCUUGGAUGAGAGAAGCAGGAACAUAACUGAAUCACCCAGACAAUCUUUUCUUUGAAGUGGUGGGGUUGGGAGGUUAAAAGAUUUUUAUAAAUAUUAAAUAAUUAAAAUAGGAAGUAUUAGUCCACGUGUUUGACAGGAAGGCUGUAAUUGUCCUCUGUUCUGUAUCACAUAAAAUACCAUAAUAUGGACAUUUUAUGUUAUCUGCCCUUUUCCUGUAGAACUAGUACAUUCUCUUCUAAUCACUAUGUCCCAUCUGGUACAUUGUUCAAAUACAAGCCAAAGUAUCUAAUCACUUGCAAUCUCACAUAAACAAAAACAAUGUGAAGAAGUACACCACAAAAAUCUCCUCGUUGUCUUCUAAGAUCCUGCUUGCUUUACUGUGACAUGACAGAGCCCAUCAAAUGAGAAAGCUCAGCUUCCUCACUGGGAUCAGAAGACUAUCUGCCUGUGGAAGACAGACUUCCACUGUCUUCCACAGGCAGCUCUCCAUCAUCCCCACCACGUUUUCUGUAGUGGUGGAUGCAUCUGGGCAAAUACUGAUAGGACUCUACUUUUUGUGAUCUAGCAGUCAGCUAGUGCUAUCUAUCUGCUGGAUAUAAGAACACUGUCUAUACUACAGACCCACAAUCUAUCCUUUACUGCUUUUGAAUUCCCUCAUUUUGACAGAAGAAUGGUCCAAUGUUGGCACAUAUGGUCAAUCAGCUUCAGGGUGGCUGUUCUGAACUGUAAUAGCUGCUGACAGUCUUCAAGACACGGGUAUAUCAGGCCAAGGACAGCUGGUCAGCAGCAGUCCUGGCCAUAUUCACUCUUCUGCUGACUUCACAUGGUCUGUAGUUAUGACAUGGACAGAAUACAAGUUCUUCAUAAAUUCUGUGUCUAGGUACAGCUUCAUAAAUUGUAUGCCUGUAGGGCACUUUGCAUGCCAUAGAAGUACCCAUAUAAUCACCAGGUCUUUCUGCUGCAGUGACAGGACAGCAAAAGGAUCUCAUCCUGGCCAUUUACGUAGGUUAAUUUGUUUUAAACGGACUAUGUAAAAAACCUAACUAUUCUCUCUGUCUUUUUAAGUGCCUAGUUUCUGUAAUGCAGUUGACCUCAGAGAUUCAGCGUUGCUUCUACUGUAAUUUGAAUGAGAAGUAAGUUGCUCUCAAGAUUGAGUCUAAGCAGAACGCUUUUUUGAUAAAAUAAUCUUUGUAAAAUCCACUGUGCUGCAUGGAGCCAGGAGCUAGCUGCUAGUUCUCUUUUUUUUUGUUCGCUUUCAAUAGACUGUUUCAGCAUGCUGAAAGAAUAGGACUUGGGCUCCCCAACGGAUAUUAGUUAUGGCUGCGUUCUUCCUUUCACCAGAAACACAAACCACACAAUCCUUACAGCAAUCAGCACAAAACACAUCAUGUUAAAUCCCUUAUUUCUGUAGCAUAAUAUAAAGUCUCUCUUUCUCUCAUAUUACCAUUCUGGUGAGUCAGGUAUGUGAGCUUUUCUAGGCAACAGGUGUUUUCUGAAAUAAAAUACAACCUUCCCUUCAGCUAAUUAUGUGGCAGAGACAGCAGCUGCAAGUAUAAUGCUGAGGACACAUGGUCUAUAAGACACCCAGAAGAAAAAUACUCCUUGUUCCACUUGUUAAGGUAAAGCACAGAUGUUGCUACUGUGAUAAGUAUGAGCAUAAGGCAACCACAGUCUGCUUCAUGCUGUACAUUCAGAAUCUAAGAUUUCAGAAUAUUUAAUAGGCUGCAAUCAGAAUCACCAGUUUCUUUAUGUAAAGGAAAGUUGUUUAUGUCUAAUCUAAUAGUCCUAACAUACCACAGUUUGCAUUACACUAUCAUCAGCAAUAUGCCGGAGACUAUCCACAGACUUGAGAGAUAGAUUAUAAAUAUUUUUGUAUAUGGACUCAGUGAUAAGUGUCAAACGUGUAAAUUAAUAUGCUUACUGAUUUAAACAUUUACAGGUACUGUAAAUUAAAACAAAAAACAACAAAGAACUACACAAACAUUCAAGUCAUUUAGAAAGUUAAAUGCAAACUUUCUUAUUGCUUAGUGUUGGGGUGCAGUACUGUGGCUAUUGCUAGCUAUCAGUUUUAGACUGUUGAGAAAUCAACUGCAAAAUAAUGGUGCCUAAAGAUCUUUAUGGACAAAAGUAGAACAGAUCCUUUCCAGGGAUCAAUUCCCUGCUGACUUAGAGGUAUACUUCUUUUUCUCAGUUUGUUAUUUUUUCCCUUAUUUAUUUUAAGAGCUAAGUACAUAUAUAGUAUCUUAUACUAUAACUGUUAAGGUGAAGAGACUGUCAAAUUAAACAGAAGCCUGGCAUUUUUCUAAAAGCAUGAGGAUCCUCAAGAAUCAUCUGAUCUCCUACUCCCUCUAGUAUUUUAGGCCUAACUAGGUCAGAAUCUCUACCCUGUUAACAAGAACAUAUAGUAUGACAGAAAAAGCACGGUUCACAGAAAAAUCCCAGAGCUCUCGCUCUGUGAACAGACAAUUGGCUGUCUUACAAAGUAUUUAUUAUCUCCUUUCAAUCCCACUAUCCUGUAGAACUGCAUGCUUUUCUGGCUACAGGGUUUUUUUUUUCUAUGUGGAGCAGCAGCUGCAAGGAAUUGGGGAAUGAUUAACACACGUGGAGAAAGGCCUGACUGCAAGGAUCUACCAGAUAAAGUCAAUAGCUUCACACUCCUUCAGAUCAAGCUCAAAGUGACCUUAGCUCUUCUGUGUGUGAUUUCUUGGCAAAACAGGUAUUGAUAAGCUGUUGUAAACUGCAGUGAAAUGAGCCCAUUUUUUUCAUUCCGUCACUACCAAAUUUAGAGAAGACAGUAUUAAAAAAUAAAAUGAAACAAGCAAACUCUGAUCACAAGGUUACAAACUGGUUUCAUCGUGAAAAUACCAUUGUAAUUACUUGCUAUGACAUAUAUGGUAAAAAAGAGAUACUUAAAUGUCUCAUGUGCCCAUCUUUUAGUUUUCUAUGUUGUUCCAAAUGAAAGAGAUACGAGUUAAAAAAAAAAAAAAGAGAGCCAAAGCUCUACAUUAAUUUGUAUGAUGAUACAGAUGCUUAGAAGAUACAUCCAUGAGAUGUUACCACUGCUCUGACCCACCUUUCUUCCCAUUGUUUCUCAGUUGCUGACACUUGUUCUUAAUUAUGUUCCUGUCCUGCAAAGAGCUUAGGAUACAACAGGACAAUUCAACUUGCACCUGAGAAUAUUUAGAGGUUUUAUUUAUUAUAGUGUUUGAUCUUGGGUGUUAUAGAAGAAAAGUCUCUUCUCAUGAAUGCAAAAGCCCUUCCCCAACCAAAUGGCCCCAGUGUGUUAUACUAUAUUACCAAGAACUAAUAAUUCAGAGAACUGCUAUUAAAAUUCUCCUCUACUCAGCCAUCAAAGCUGAUCACAUAGCUUCCAAGACUUGUACAUUUAUAUUAUGGGCAGAAAAUUUGAGUAAUACUCACGUGUGUCUUCACAUCACCUUCAAGAAUCUUGCUAUACCUGAGAAACUCAGCAACGCUUCCAUUCAGCAGCCUAUCAAAGGCCUCCACGUAUGGAGCUAUGCCUAUAGAAGAAGAGCAUUCCAUUAUAAUGGAUCCAUAUAGUAAACAAAGUAUAGGACUUCCCUGUGUAGCACAUGGACGGGGAAUAACAAAGAAACGGGGGAAACUGCUGUAAUUUAAUUUCUGCUGUAUUCGUUGAUUUGUGAAAUCAGUGAAAAAGGAUGCAUUAUAUAUAUAUUUUUUUAAUUGCUAGAAGGGAAAAAUACCGCUCCUGGUAAAACUUGUCAAGGAGCACAAAGAGAUUUUACUUUGCAUACUGUGGGAUGCCUCUUUUGUAUUAAAAUAACAGGUGCUGAAGUAAACAUCUCUCAGCCUUUCAAAAGCAGAACGGCGCAACAAGGAUGGUUGUCUUAACAAAGUUCUAUUACUGUACAUAAAGCAAAUAUUACUCCCUAAAAAGAAUCUGCACCAUGCUGAACAACUGUUUUCAUGCUAUCCACCCACUCCUGAAGAUCUCCGUUAUUGUUUGGUGGCCAUUAAUAACACGUAAUUAAAUUUCCAGCAUUUAGAAUUUACUGACAGUCAAUUUAGGCAGUGAGAUGUGGCACUGUAAUCUCCUUAUUUUGUUGUGUGACCGUACAAAACAGUCAUUGGAGAAAGAAGGCCCAAACAAAUCUUCCAGAUGACACAUCCCUCUGACUAUUUAUGUGGUAUAUAUAUUCCGCCUGAAAAACAGAAAUAUUGUGUUCUAUAUGGUAUAAAGAGCUAUUUUCUGAUGAAGUGGGCAAUCAGAAGACCGAGGUGGGACUCAAUUUCUCACAUAACUGGCUUUCUACAUCACUUUAUGUGAUACCCUUUAAGAUGGCAAAAUUACUCUUUCCUUCAGUGUUUUCCAGCCCUCUCCUUCCUCCCUAACGUAUCCUCCUGUCUUGUUGGUGCAUCAGAACUUUCAUUAGGUCCAGCAUGAGCAACGCAUAUGUGAAUUUAUGGCAUCUGUAGUAUCUGAGAGACCGUGCUUAAAAUUCUUUCUCCUCUCUGCCUGGAGACUGCUCUGAAGAGGUACCAGGCUUUCUUCAGAAAGUUUGCUUUAACCUUUUGGCAUUAUAUGACAAUUGUGUCCAAAUUCAUAAUCUUGAAAGCCCUUUUUACUUCCUAAGAGUCAUCUGGCUCCUCGACAGAAAAAAAGAAGGGCUUUGGUAAUGGGAAUUUGCAAUGGCCUGUGUGGAAAAAAAAGAUGUAGUUAGACAACGAGGCGGGAUUUCAAGGCUUCUUUUGUUCUCUUGAUGUCACUCACCUUUAAUUCUGAGGAAUUUCUGGGCUUUCUUCCAUAUUCAGUGCUUGUGUGUAAACCCCUCAAAUGACCCAGGGUACAAAAGGUUUUAGUUGUAGAGAUGCUUUCCAAAGCCUAUUUAUGUUCUUUGUUGAAAUCUCUGUGCGUCUCCAAGAGAAUCAUUGUAACCUUUUACUUUAGAGCACACUUUUAAAUAGCAGUUCACCAAAUGGCAUUUGCGCUAUGCAAAACUAGAAAGCGACUAUGCUAUUUUUUACUAUUCAAUACAGCUAACUCCCAGGAGCAUUUACUAGAGUGUGCUGUGAGUUGUGCAGAGCAAUUGAAUGAUUUGUUUGCAAUCCCAUUGUUGUAGUGCCAUUUAGGAAAAAAGUAAAGCACAGUACAUUCCUCCCAUGUUCCCCACUAUUUUGUUGUUUCCAAAAAAACCUAAAUAAAAAAACUCAAGCUUGUUUUUUUGGGAUAGUUCUAGUUAUGGAAUGGUCAUUUAGGGGGAGAGGGCAUGGUAGAAGAAAGCAAUGUAUCUCCCUUUCCACAAGGGACUUUAAAAGUGUCACAUUCUUUGGCAGAGCAUCGGUUUUAAAGUAGAAAAAGAGACUUGUUCUGCAAGACUGUCAGCUCUGCAAUUGUUGUGGAGACUUAUGGGAGCCUCUGCAAAGUACCAAGAGCAUGCAGAAUUAUGUUUGUGGCACUGUUUGUACAUCAGUCAUCCCAAGUGAAAAACGGAUACAGUCUGUCCUAACUGCAUCAGCAAAAGCUGAUUCCUGAGUCCCGAUGUGAGCCAGCUCAGCCUGGGCAGCUCCCCAUGGUGCUGCUCAUAUCAGUUUCUUGCUGCUGCUUCUCCCAGCAGGUGUGGUUUACAAUCUCACUCAUACAACACUUGUCAGUCAGUUUCUUCUGAGGACCUGCUGAGGGUUUUUAAGGCUCUGUUUCCCUGGGGGGUGAGGCUCUUUACCUUUCUUCAAUUCGUAGGGUAGGCUAAGGAUAUGCUGAUUUUCAUGGGGGUGAAUUGAUCUCCUUUUGUAAAACCAGCCCUCAUUCUGCAGCUCUAAGGUUUGUGUUCAUAGAGACUUACCCAAAUUGAUUCAUUAUAGGGUGGAAGCUAAUGUUUUUGAAAAACGUAUAGUUCUUAGUAGCCAUCCAUUUAUUUGUCAUCUUGUACAUGGGUCAUAUUUCUCCAUUACUUUGCUAAGCUUUACUAGCUGUCUGGAUUUUCUCCACAGUGUACACAUUUUAUUACUGAAGCUCACUCUGACCAGCUAAGUCCCCUGCUCUGGAAGCCUGCUGGAAGAUUCUCCCUUCCUGCCACAGAAACAUACUGCUUUCAGUCAGCUGCUCCACAGCAACUGCUGGCAUUUAGGCCUAUAGCAUGUGUACCUACAUGUGUUGUUGGAUAAGGGCUGGCGUACAGUUACAACAAAGCAGCUGACAUCAUACAGUAACUUGCUUCUGUCAAUAAAGGAGCUGCCCACAACUUUCUACUUUUUCUGCAGCAUUCUGUAAACCAAGUGCAUGAUAGGCUGUGCUCUCCCACGAAGAAGGUAGGGAAGGGCUAAGGAAUGUGCAAAGCAAGCGAUGUGGAGAUUAGACAGGGAUAUAUGCAGGGAUUCUGGGUUGAAAAAAACCAAAACAACAGCUCUUGAGAAAGGAAAUACUUCUAUUAAAUCAGCAUCAGUACUACCACAUCUGUAAGGUUGUUUAUCCUAUAAAUUGCAAGAACAACAACAACAAAAAAUUAAGGGGUGGAAAAAAAUGAUUUGGCAGUGUGAGGUGGAUAAAUGAGGUCAGGUUUUUUUUUCAUGUAUUUCCACUUAGUGCUUUGGAGAUCCACUUGAGAAGGGAGAGCUCAAGAGCAAUAAAAGUAAGGCCAAGGAUGUGUGGCAGAUCUCAGCGAGCAAGUGCUUAUGAACAAACUCAUAUUUGAUGAAGGAUAUUAAUCAAUUAAAUCAUGGUGCGUUACAUGGAAUUCAGAGAGCUGGAAAAUAGACUCAGUUUGUGUGUUACAUGGAAUUCAGAAAAUAGACUCAGUUUUUAUACUGCUGACUUCUUUAGGAAUAUUCAUGCUGUGUAUUUUUGGGACGUCUCAUUUCUUCUGCUAACUGGGCUCAAGGAGAUGUUCUCAUCUGGUGAGUUAUCUACAACAAUAUAAAUGCUAAAAUCGAAAGAGCAAUAAAGCUUGAAAUGUGGACCACAUAGGUAAGAGAUAUGACUAAUACUGAAUUUUCUAGGCCGUAUAUGUUUAUAAUCAUGCUUAGAAGACAAACACACGCUAGGUUUCUAAUUACAGAAAGAGGUAGUACUUAAAAAAAAAAAAAAAAAAAGACUUACUUCCAUUGACCCCGUUCAUUGCAUCGCACUCCAUUCCACCAGAUCUCUGGGAAUCUGAAAAUAAUGAUUCAAGUCGAGUCACUGCUUUCUCCAAUCUCUCCAUCAAGCCAUGAUUCUCUGCCAUUCUAAAAAAGUCAUUCGGGAGACAGCAUUAGACCCCUUUGAGAACGCCCAUGUUUUACCUCAUGUUCUACUCAUCUUAUGGCUUUAUCAACGUUUAUGGUAAAAGCUCCUUUUCUUAACUAUUGUCUUUCUGGCUGUAGUGAAGCAGCUGACAAACGAUAACUUACUUCUUUAUCAGCAAGAAAUCUGAUCAGUGCUCAGCCUUUGGUUUUCACUGUAAAUGGAUACAAGUCACUGCUGGUGUAGCUUUGGGCAGUCUGUAUUUGGACAGUUUGUGAAAUCCAUAUAAAUGUAAUUGGUAGAAACGUAUGCCUGCAGUGAUUUGCAUCAGUGAGUUCCUGAGGCAAAAAUACAGAUUCGAUUAAUACUUGACUAAAAGCCAGACUUUAAAUGCCUACCUCCUGAUUUUUCUAAAGAUAUAUGCUGAAAUCUGCCUGGGUCUUCUAGGCUUUGUAGUAAGGCUCAACCACUUUACUGAGUGACUAUUGUGAAGAGGCAAUAUGUUUGUUCUUCUGAUGUGAUUUCCCAUCUUUUAAUUAUUUUUCUUUUUCUUCUGAAUGCACCUGAUGUGAAUGAGUGCAUCCCAAGCUUUUCAAAACAAGCACUGAUUAACAUUUGGAAAGAAAAAAACCAGGAGCCUACUUGCACAGUACUGCAACAGUGCUUUUGAUGUAAAAUGAAAUAGAAAUUGGGCUACAUUUUGAACAAUUCGCACCUCAUUUCAUUUCUUCAUGGAGUGAUUAUCUGUUUUCUUACAUGCGGGGAAGUGUAGGCACUGACAUUUUUGAACGCUGGCCAAUGUCUCAGGGAACACUGUGCUCUAUACACUACAGACUAAGAAACAGUUACAUAAGCAAAGACAAAGCUAUGUUUAAAUCCCCCGUUGUUUAAUAUAACAAGCGCUCCUAACUUAAGGUUGUGCGUCUUUUAUUCUGAGUGACAUACAGUAAGGGAGCUGGUGGUGAUCUAUGGCUCUUGGUUAAAACAUGAUCCACGUGAGCUCAAGCAGAGCUCCCACACGAUGGCUUAUAUCCCCUACCCUAUGCAAUAUUUUCCUAGCGAGCAAAACAAAUAAUGCUGUUUCACUGUUCCCUUGCCCUGGGGAGAAAGUCUGAAUUCUUUUAUUAAAAAGUAGAGUAAUAUGAAAGGAAGGGCUUCCGAUUUAAAAAUCAGUAUUAAUAAUCCUUAUAAUCAUUCUUAUUUUGAAAAUUUAAGUGUGAGAGAAGCUAUGAGGAUGGUGGGAGCACAUGCUGAGCUCUCAUGCUGAGUCAUGCUGUCUGUCAAACAAGGUGGGGCUUCCAGGCUUUACCCUAUAAAUAUAAAGAGAUUUGUGUUUGACCUAUGAGUGAAACAGAAGAUUUUACAAUGCGAAAGCCUUGGGAGGACCAUUCUCAUGAGAAAGUUCUGUCUGGAGAUUAUGUGUUGUUUUUUUCUUUUCUUUUUCCCUAUUUACAUUAAAUAAAAAAGCAAAGCCCUAAAAGAGGAUGACAUGAAACAAUGUGCAUAUAAGCGCUGUCCAAACUUCGGGGUGGGUGGGGGGAGGGGGAUGGUCUCUUCUGCAUGUAUUUAAAAUAUACACUAUUCUGUUUGAAAAAUCAAUGAAUUCUCCAAAACAAAAACAAAAAACCUUUAACAUUUGCAAGUUUCCAAGUAUCUUGGCAGGGGUAAUAUGAAGGUGUCAGGAGAGCUUCUGAAAUGUGCAAAUAUUUCUGAGAAUAUCAAAGUUUUCCUUAAAACAAAGCACUCUUAUUCCUCAAAAGUAUUACGGGCGCAUUCCUUUCACAUUCUACUCUACUACCUAAAAGCCUCAAAACGUGCUUGUUUUAAAAGUUAUGUUUUAGAACAGUUUAAAGUCUGGAUGGUCUAUCUGAAGCUUAGUAACAGUCAAUUCUUCUCAUCAGCAUUUUAAAGUAUAUUUCCAGUACAUUUCCUAUUUGUCUCUACUUGAAGACACGGUCUGGUAGGUAACUAUAUUUGUUUCCAUCUGCUCCAAAAUUUUCAUUGAUGAAAAGUAGAACAUUUAUUUGGAAGAGUGGCUCCUUUUUGUCUCUUUAGCCUGAUUUUGCCUGUUGAAGGAUUCGGUUCUGAUUUGACUACGCACAGUUGGGGGAAUCUUCCAAACAAACAGCAGUGGAUCAGACUUGUAAUGUUCUGCCCAAGAAAUUGGCCCCGGUAAGACGCUAAAAAUAUGGAUUAUGGGGUCAGAAGCUCAAGGGAAUAACCCACUGACCCUGCGGACAUUUCUAGGCAAUAUUUCCCAACAGCAACACAGUCUUAUGUUCACAAUAUUCUUCACAGUUUUAUUCAGUUCCAAAAAGCUGUAAGACUACUGUGUUGUUCUAAAGUCAGAUAUCAACAGUGGGACAAUUACAGAAUAAUAUAUUGUUCUAAUUUCUUUAGACAGAAGUCAGAACUAUUUUUACCACACCUUCAGGGCUGCCAGGUUUCUCACUAUUUUUAAAAGAAAUGUAACUGUUAAGAACUGCUCAGUCAUUAUGAUUACAUGGUAUUUGUAUCUAUACUCAUAUACAUCUGUGCGCUUAAGUAUACAUUCAGGUACCCUGUCCUUUAUGAAGGAUGUACAAAUAUAAUUUUGCCGUUACUGUGUAAAACACUUCAAGAGUACAUCAGCUGUGCAUACAAUAACCUGAUAUAUACAUUUGCUUUACCAUCAGUCAGCUAGGUUUCUUACAAACAAGACUGAAAUUGAGCUACUGUUCUGAAGGAAAGACUCCACUGACGAACAGCACAACUCUCAAUCCAUUUUCAGUCUAAACAUUGGCAUCUUUGCCUAUACUUAGGCAUUCACAUAUCUGACUUAUAUUAUGACAACCUUCAUCAUUUUCUUGGUUUAUAUUCACAGUCCAUCUGAUAAGUUAUCAUUCCAUACUGCACUUUGCAAGGUCAAACUGAUACCACAAACCCAGAGCUCAAAAGAGCUCAGAGCACAAAUGGUAGAGCUUGACUCUGUGAAGAAGUCUGUGCAAUGUAGUAUUGAAGUUAAAUAAUUAUAAAUAAAAAUGAGACUGGUCUACUUACAGUGCCAAAUAAAAUCUUUGCAUCUUAAUAAAGAGGAUGUAAAUACAUCUGUGGGAUGCCUCUACUGCCAUGAAGCAAGAUUUUACAUCAAGACAGAUUCUCUAUCUUGUUUUCAGUGGGAUUUUAAUUAAAGCUCUGUUCUUGAUGUGGAUUAUUAGGGUUAUUCAUACACCUUUCUCAGGUUUGAUGCUGAUUACCUACAAGGAGUUAAAACCAAUAACACUUCAAGUCCAGUGUAAUCCUGGAUCCAGUUUUCUGGGUGGACAAGCAGAAUGUUCUUCACUGAACAUACAGUCAACUAAGAGCUAGGAACAAAUGAUUUAAAUUUUGGCAUUGCUCUAGUGCACAAAAAGUACAGAGGAUUCAUAGACCUGCCCUGUUUACUGUUAGUGGUAUCUUUUUGCGGGGUGCUAACGGCAUAUGACAAUACAACUGUCAAUCCUUUCUUCACUUAAAGAAGCAAAGAAGGACACACUGAAGACCAAAAAGCAGAUCUGUUUUUAUACACAGAACAGCACUGCUCUACUCCCCAAUUUGACACCUGUCUCAAAGCACCAUUUAUCCAUUAUCAAGGGAAAAAAACUUGUCUGUACACUAAAAAAUGAUGUGUUCAUCCCAAAUGGCAGUCAAACUGUAAGCCAAAACAUACAGGUACUAUGCUUGCUAUCAUUGCAUGUGACUUACGACAGAGGACCACAUUGUUCUGUCUCAGGAAGAUACAAGCUGUAACAAGGCCACAGGGAGGAACAGUGUAGUAGCAUAAGGGGCAAAAAUAAACAAAAGAGUUGAUUUGUCAGGCACAUAAAAAUGGCAGGUUGAAUGUAGGUGCCACUCUGUCAUGUAUGAUAUUCUGACAAAUAUCAUCAAAAGAUUCCAUGGUUUGUUUUAUUUCCUAGUACUCCUUUAAUUUAGAAGAAUAAAGAGGUGGGUUUUUUUUUAUUUUUUUCAUUUAUUUGUGUUUGUUGUUUUUUUCCUUCGCACCAGUCCUCCCACAUCUGUGACAUUAACUAGGUCUGAUUCAUUUUCAUCAGCUGAGAUGCUACAGGUUAGAUUUUGCUUUUCUUCUCUAUGCCAAAAAAGGGCAGUUACCUAUGACAGGCAAGAAUUUGUUAUUUUUAUUGCAUCUAACACUGCUACUCUGUUUGGAAAAACACAGUUUUAUUCUUGAAAGUACUGUAGCCUUUACAUGUGUCUCCUCUCAUAGUCUUUAAUAAAUUGCUACUGAGAUAUGCGAUAAACAAAACAUGCAAAUCCUCACACCACCAACUAGUACUAUCUUACAGCUAGUCACAAAUGCCUCAUAGAUUGAAAGUAUGGAAUCCUCAAAGAGUUCUAUACAAUGGAUAUCAAAGGAGGGGAAAUGCAUACACAUUCCUGAACAACCCGACAAAUUACAGAAGUAUAUUACAACACUUUAUAUAGUCAGCUUGAGCCAUAACAGGCUAGCUUUUCUGCACUGCCAUUCAGCUGUAUGUCCCAACUCCAAGCUGUGUGGAGCAUGCAGUCUUUUUGCUACCAUUGGCAUCAGACCCAAAUUCUUGCUCCACCCUAUUUUAGUCCAAAUGAUGAAAACCUAUUGGUUUGAGGGUCUCAGGGGCUGCUCAUUCCCAAGCAGAACUGAGAAGCAGGCUGUUACCAGAUGAAUGCACUGGAAUGCCGAGGGUGACCGCGGUGUGAAUUUUCUUCUGCUCCUUCAAUCUCUCUCUCAGCUAUGGACUUCAAGACUGAGGAUAUCUCAGUUUUACAUCCUGCUGCAAAAUGAAACUGCUGGUAUGGAUCCCCAGGGUCAUACGGGACCGGGCUGCUUAGGUGGAGGGGACGCGUCCCACACAACUUGACUCGGCUACAGCAUUCAGAACGUUACCGACAAGGAGAGCACAGUUACGGGCAUACGUUUUACCUGGUGAAGAGAGCAGUGGUCCAGUACCGGAACAGAAUUUCCUUGGCUUGGAAGGCAGAAAGGAAGAAUGCGUCAUCAGGAGUUGGAGGCCUCCUUGAACUGUAGCUCAGAAGUGUGGGACUAGUGUCAUUCAUACCAGCUGAGGACUGAGAGCUCCCCAGGAAUUUUCCUUAAAAUAAACCAAAAACCAACGCUGUCUUCAAUGGAGAGAUACACUGCAAAGAAAAUCGUAGCUGGCUGCAAAGGAAUCAUCUUUCCUGUUUAGACUGUAGAUUACCAGUGUCCAUUACUGAACUUUCUGGAUCAUCCCAUGUCAACACAAAAUUAUUGCUACACCCUACACAUGUCUCCAGGCCUUCACCAAAGAAAGUUUCUCUUUUUAGGGAUAUUCAGUGGUUGAAAAUGAACCAGAAGAAAGAACUUCAGAAGAAAGAGCUGGGAAGGAUAGAAGAGAAAAAUGAAGUGAACUUUAAGAAUAUUACCUGGCACACCAACUGAGGAAAUGCUGAAGAACUCUGUUUUAAGUAAUCAUUCACAUGAGUGCCUGUUUACCAGUCCAGUCCAACAGUGAGCAACUUCGAACAUUUACUCCUCUUGGACCAGCACAGCCAGCACCUGCAGCACAUCAUUCGCUGAUAUGUCACGGAUCAUUUUUCACAGCCCUGUUGAAGUGGCUUAUUUAUUAUCAUCUGUUCUGGUGUUACAUCCUGGACAUGGGAGAACUGUUUACUGUACCACAGUGCCAGGAAUUCCUUGUUACUGUGCAAUCUGACUCCAGGAUAGUGCUCAGGAUGAGGCCACUGCUUUCCUCAAGGCUGACUCUGCUGAAGUUGGAAGUGACGAGGCGAAUCUGAGGUGAUACAGCAGAAGCUGGUUGUUUGGCAGAAGAACAGAGGCAGUGAAGGUGUGACAAGAUUAAGACCAAGAUGGAGAAAGACGAAACCAGAGUUUCAGAGCUCUUGAGGACACCACAUGCCCAUGACCCUGCAGAAGAAACUGGAAAAACACCACUUCAACUUGUAAUUGGAUACAAGCUGUCUGAGAUGGAAAUUGAGAGCAAAGUUCUCUGUUUAUUUACGAGCCAGCACUGAUACCUGAAGCAUAAAGCAAGGCACCUUCAGAUCAAUGCCAGCAAACUCUCGACUAUAUUGGAAAAUCCUUCCUGCCACGGGACAAGCACGACCGUGUCCUCGUGUUCUUUCAGCGUAACCCCCACCUUGAUAACACUUGUCAUCUGAGCAGCUUGUAUGACAGGUCUGUGAAGUGGAUUACUACUGUCCACUAGAGGCUGUAAUGAGACCAACAAUGUCAUUUUAUGACAAAUUGAAGUCUUAGACUGUAAUGAUCGAUAAUUGUAAGAUUACUGUUCACAUGCAGUGCAUCGUCAGUCACUGGAUUUCCCUGAACGUGGAUGUUAAAAAAAAAAAAUCCAA
Gallus gallus (chicken) is the source of this 35214-nucleotide RNA transcript. It is a transcript of the gene named ataxin 1, with no coding region annotated. The record is from RefSeq and is a predicted model, not a curated record. NCBI's taxonomy places the organism in Eukaryota, Metazoa, Chordata, Aves, Galliformes, Phasianidae. The transcript has 15 exons.